CUGGUGGUACAGUGGUUAAGCGCUUGGCUGGUAACCAAAAGGUCGGUGGUUCGAAUUCACCCCACCAGC
RNAcentral lists this transfer RNA (69 nucleotides) under Loxodonta africana (African savanna elephant). It matches the Rfam family "tRNA". Rfam says of the family: Transfer RNA (tRNA) molecules are approximately 80 nucleotides in length. The record is from Rfam by way of RNAcentral. Lineage: Eukaryota; Metazoa; Chordata; Mammalia; Proboscidea; Elephantidae.